Molecule: signal recognition particle RNA, 299 nt
Filed under: Saimiri boliviensis boliviensis (Bolivian squirrel monkey)
Lineage: Eukaryota; Metazoa; Chordata; Mammalia; Primates; Cebidae
Description: Metazoan signal recognition particle RNA (ENSSBOG00000006729.1)
Rfam family: Metazoan signal recognition particle RNA
About the family: The signal recognition particle (SRP) is a universally conserved ribonucleoprotein. It is involved in the co-translational targeting of proteins to membranes.
Source: RNAcentral
GCUGGGCACAGUGGCGCGUGCCUGUAGUCUCAGCUACUUGGGAGGCUGAGGUGGGAGGAUCACUUGAGCCCAGGAGUUCUGGGCUGUAGUGCACUAUGCUGAUUGGGUGUCCGCGCUAAGUUUGACAUCAAUAUGGUGACCUUUCGGGCGCAGGGGACCACCAGGUUGCCUAAGGAGGGGUGAACCGGCCCAGGUCGGAAAUGGAACAGGUCAAAACUCCAGUGCUGAUCAGUUGUGGGAUUGCACCUGUGAAUAGCCACUACACUCCAUCCUGGGCAACAUGGUGACACCCUGUCUCU